RNAcentral lists this ribosomal RNA (468 nucleotides) under uncultured bacterium. Its description in RNAcentral is "partial 16S ribosomal RNA". It matches the Rfam family "Bacterial small subunit ribosomal RNA", at positions 28 to 507 of the family's 1533-position model. The record is from RNAcentral.
GACGAACGCUGGCGGCGUGCUUAACACAUGCAAGUCGAACGGAAAGGCCAUGCUUUUGUGGCUUGCUCGAGAGGCGAACGGGUGAGUAACACGUGAGUAUACCGCCCUUGACUUUGGGAUAAAUUCACGAAAAUCGGGCUCAUACAGCAUAGGAGCUACUGAUGCAUGUUGGGGGUUGGAAAGUUUCGGCGGUUGGGGAUGGACUCGAAGCUUAUCCGCUUGUUAGUGGGGUAGUGGAGUACCAAGGCUAUGACGGGUAGCCGGCCUGGGAGGUUGGACGGGGACAUGGGGACUACGGUACGGCGCAGUAGCCAACGUUCGGCAGCAGGGGGGAACAUUGCACAAUGGGCGGAAGCCAGUGGCAGCGACCCCGCGUUCGGGAUGACCGCUUUCUGGUGGUAAACCGCUUUCGCCGGUGACGAAGCGGGAUUGACGGUAAUGGGUAAAGAAGCAACGGCUAACUACGUG